GACGAACGCUGGCGGCGUGCUUAACACAUGCAAGUCGUACGGUAAGGCCCUUUCGGGGGUACACGAGUGGCGAACGGGUGAGUAACACGUGAGUAACCUGCCCACAACUUUGGGAUAACGCUAGGAAACUGGUGCUAAUACUGGAUAUGUGCCCCUGCUGCAUGGUGGGGGUUGGAAAGCUCCGGCGGUUGUGGAUGGACUCGCGGCCUAUCAGCUUGUUGGUGGGGUAGUGGCCUACCAAGGCGGCGACGGGUAGCCGGCCUGAGAGGGUGACCGGCCACAUUGGGACUGAAAUACGGCCCAGACUCCUACGGGAGGCAGCAGUGGGGAAUAUUGCACAAUGGGCGCAAGCCUGAUGCAGCAACGCCGCGUGCGGGAUGACGGCCUUCGGGUUGUAAACCGCUUUCAGCAGGGACGAAGCUUUUUGUGACGGUACCUGCAGAAGAAGCACCGGCUAACUACGUG
This 465-nucleotide ribosomal RNA is filed under the name uncultured bacterium. RNAcentral's name for it is "partial 16S ribosomal RNA". It matches the Rfam family "Bacterial small subunit ribosomal RNA", at positions 28 to 507 of the family's 1533-position model. The record is from RNAcentral.